AUAUCAAUAAGCGGAGGAAAAGAAACCAACAGGGAUUGCCUCAGUAACGGCGAGUGAAGCGGCAACAGCUCAAAUUUGAAAUCGGGCAACCGAGUUGUAAUUUGGAGAGGACGCUUCUGGCAAGGCCGCACCCAAGUCCCGUUGAAUAGGGCACCAGUGAGGGUAAAAGUCCCAUGCGGUGUAGGCUGCGCUGAUGUGAAGCUCUUUCAAAGAGUCGAGUAGUUUGGGAAUGCUGCUCUAAAUGGGAGGUAAAUUUCUCCUAAAGCUAAAUACUGGCCAGAGACCGAUAGCGCACAAGUA
This 300-nucleotide ribosomal RNA is filed under the name uncultured eukaryote. Its description in RNAcentral is "partial large subunit ribosomal RNA". It matches the Rfam family "Eukaryotic large subunit ribosomal RNA", at positions 40 to 350 of the family's 3401-position model. The record is from RNAcentral.